Molecule: ribosomal RNA, 424 nt
Filed under: uncultured bacterium
Lineage: Bacteria
Description: bacterial SSU rRNA
Rfam family: Bacterial small subunit ribosomal RNA
Source: RNAcentral
UGGGGAAUCUUGCGCAAUGGGGGCAACCCUGACGCAGCCAUGCCGCGUGAAUGAUGAAGGUCUUAGGAUUGUAAAAUUCUUUCAGCAGGGACGAUAAUGACGGUACCUGCAGAAGAAGCCCCGGCUAACUUCGUGCCAGCAGCCGCGGUAAUACGAAGGGGGCUAGCGUUGCUCGGAAUUACUGGGCGUAAAGGGCGCGUAGGCGGGUCGUUAAGUUGGAGGUGAAAGCCCAGGGCUCAACCCUGGAAUUGCCUUCAAUACUGGCGGCCUUGAGUAUGAGAGAGGUGUGUGGAACUCCGAGUGUAGAGGUGAAAUUCGUAGAUAUUCGGAAGAACACCAGUGGCGAAGGCGACACACUGGCUCAUUACUGACGCUGAGGCGCGAAAGCGUGGGGAGCAAACAGGAUUAGAUACCCCCGUAGUCC